This 797-nucleotide long non-coding RNA is filed under the name Cricetulus griseus (Chinese hamster). RNAcentral describes it as "lncRNA (ENSCGRG00015030702.1)". Lineage: Eukaryota; Metazoa; Chordata; Mammalia; Rodentia; Cricetidae. The record is from RNAcentral.
CUCUUUGUAAGCCUGACUGUCCUAGUAGAACUCACUCUGUAGACCAGGCUGGCCUCAAACUCACAGAGAUCUGCCUGCCACUGCCUCCCAACUGCUGGGAUCAAAGGCAUGCAUCACUACCUCCGGCUCUGAUGUUAGUUUUUACAUGUAGAGGUUUAAUGUUAAAUUAUUUUUGUGCUUUAUGGAUAGUUUUAUAAGAUGAUUCUCUGGCGUUACUCCUUGGAACUGUGAACUAGCACUGCUGAGUGUAAACCGAGGCAUACAGCUUCCUCUUGAAGGCGGUGUUGAGGGUUGUCCUGACUUAGCUUUUGUCUGGGACGGUAGAGCUUGUUGGGCUGUUUGCUGUGCAGUCCAGUUUGCUAGUCAUGUUUUAAGGUCUGUGCCGUACAUUCUGAUUGUCAGUGGGGAUGCCAGUUUGAUGCAUGCUGACCUCUACCAACAGGGGUCUUCUGAAGCCCUUGGGAGCUCCAGACCUCGAUGUGAACCCAAGUACACCAUUUACCCUUGGUAGUAAAGGGCCGGGGACCAGAGUUAAGAAUGUGGCUUGUGUACUGGGGGUCUCUACUUCUGAAGUUCCCAGCAUCUACUCUGGAUAGCCAACUGAAUGUAGUCUUUGCUCUAUAAGACAAAGUGCUCUUUUCCCUUCACCUCCUCUCCCAGGUUUAUGCUGCAGGCAGCCUCCGUCAAAGAGCCUUCUCUUUCCUUUAAUGUAGUGAUUCAUAACUGGCUAAAGGGCUGGUGAUACAAGCAACCAGAAGAGAUAAAUUGGAGCCUGAGACCCUGACUUGACUGGCCUA